GUGCUUGUUUAGGCAGCACAUAUACUAAAACUGGACCAAUACAGAGAAGAUUAGCAUGGCCCCUACUCAAGGAUGGCUUGCAAAAUUCAUGAAGCGUUCCAUUAAAAA
Molecule: small nuclear RNA, 108 nt
Organism: Gracilinanus agilis (Agile Gracile Mouse Opossum)
Lineage: Eukaryota; Metazoa; Chordata; Mammalia; Didelphimorphia; Didelphidae
Source: RefSeq, a predicted model, not a curated record